CUUGUUUCUAGUGUAGAGAAUGUAACACUUACCAGGCAGGAAAGAGUAAUUGUCAAAAAGUUAACACCAAACUGCUUUCGUUUUCUUCUCUUUAGUCAAAAGUAUAAUGCUCUGUUCCCAUCUAUUCCAACCUAUAAGGCUUACCAUUUUAUCUACAAAGUAUUUAUCAAUGGAACUGUCUGUUUUGUAGUCUUAAACUGGACAGAAGAAUUGACCUUCAAGAUUCAAGGAUUAGACUCACAGAAACCUCAAGAAAGCCAAUCUUUCAUCUCACAAAGCCUAUCUCAAAGUUCAUACCGAUCUAGUGAAUCCUCUGAGAAAAUAAGUACUCAAUCACACCUCACAAAAGAGAGGAAUAAAGACAGCGAUUCAGAGAAUAUCCGAUAGCCAGACUAUGGGAUACCAGCACACGGCCUCAUCUAGCACAACAGACCUGAAACCCAUGCUAUCUUCAUCCUGUGGGAGUCCUUGAACCCUUAAUGCAGGUACAGUUGAAGUGUAAGUCUUAAUCUUUUAUACUUGUAUUUCAUAAGUACAUGUUCACUAAGUCAGAGUGACAGUUUGUCUCUCCCUAAAACAGAGAAGUUUGGGGUAUUUGCUGAUUACCUGUAAAUUUUAGUGUGAUACACAUGGCAUGGGUGCACUUGUAUAUAAUCCAACCCCAGAAACAGGUCCAAGACUCUGAAAGAGCAAGGAUUAUGUCUUAAGUAUUUUUGUUGCAUUUCCUAACCAUUUUGCUAUUGAGUUGACAAGUGAANUUUCCUUUAUGAAAAGUAGUCUUAGCCAAGGUGUGCAAAUUUGGAAAAUUAUUAACUAUAGUUGUGUUUGUGAAUCAGAAGCAGAGGCAAACAGCCAUUUUUUCUCAGAUACCUCUUACAAAUAAGGCAUAGGAAACACCCAUAUCCAUGGCAUUCAUUAAACAUCCCAUUUAGGCAGUUCUACAGCUUUGUGAACUCUGUACUUCAGUGCCUUUUUUUCCCUGUGCAGAGAAGUGGGUGAUUCAUUAAUACAUAGCUUCUGCAUACCUGGAGGUAUUUUUCUGUCCACUAAAUAGGAUUGGAAUGAGAAAUAAAUAUUUGGUGAUAAAGGGAGAAACU
This 1097-nucleotide long non-coding RNA is filed under the name Anser brachyrhynchus (Pink-footed goose). RNAcentral's name for it is "lncRNA (ENSABRG00000006833.1)". The record is from RNAcentral. Lineage: Eukaryota; Metazoa; Chordata; Aves; Anseriformes; Anatidae.